GUAGGGAAUAUUGGACAAUGGGGGCAACCCUGAUCCAGCCAUGCCGCGUGAGUGAAGAAGGCCCUCGGGUUGUAAAGCUCUUUUGUCCGGAAAGAAAAGCAUUCGGUGAAUACCCGGAUGUUCUGACGGUACCGGAAGAAUAAGCACCGGCUAACUUCGUGCCAGCAGCCGCGGUAAUACGAAGGGUGCAAGCGUUACUCGGAAUUACUGGGCGUAAAGCGUGCGUAGGUGGUUGUUUAAGUCUGAUGUGAAAGCCCUGGGCUCAACCUGUGAAUGGCAUUGGAAACUGGGCAGCUAGAGUGCGGUAGAGGGUAGUGGAAUUCCCGGUGUAGCAGUGAAAUUCGUAGCGAUCGGGAGGAACAUCUGUGGCGAAGGCGACUGCCUGGACCAGCACUGACACUGAGGCACGAAAGCGUG
This 417-nucleotide ribosomal RNA is filed under the name uncultured bacterium. RNAcentral describes it as "bacterial SSU rRNA". It matches the Rfam family "Bacterial small subunit ribosomal RNA", at positions 354 to 763 of the family's 1533-position model. The record is from RNAcentral.